GCGCUGUCCCCGCAGCUGGCACACCUGCAAGCAGAAGCAGCAGCUGGCCAAAGCGCGGGCCGGGGAGCUGGGGACGGCGCCCGAGGGCGAGAAGCUGCACAGCGACAGCGGCGUCUUCCUCGACACCCACAGCCUGCAGGAGCCCCACCAGCUCAGCAAGGGUGAGCCUGGGCUCCGGCGCCCGUUUCGGGGGGAGAGGGGGUGUCCAGACCCGGGUGGGGAGCACCCAUGGCCUGGGGAGCAUGGGGAUGGCAUUGGGGUGCACCCAUGGCCCGGGGAGCAUCUGGACGGGUUGAGGGGCACCCAAUGCCCAGGGGACACCUAUGCCUUGGGGAGCAUCUGGACAGGGUUAGGGAGCACCCGUGUCCGGGGAGCAUCUGUGUCUUGGGUAACACCCAUGUCCUGCAGAGCACCUGGGGUCAGGGAGAACCCAUGCCCUAGAAACACCCAUGUCUGGGGAAGCAUCUGGAUGGGGUUGGGGAGCACCCAUGUCCCAGGCAACACCCRUGUCCCAGGGAGCACCCAUGUCCUGGGGAGCAUGUGGAUGGGGUUGGGGAGCACCCAUGUCCCUGGGGCACCUUGGGGAGCACCUGAGUCCUGGGGGCACCCAUGUCCUGGGGAGCAUCUGGAUAGGGUGGGGGAGCACCCAUCUCCUGGGGAGCGUCUGGAUGGGGUUGGGGAACAACCGUGUCCCGGGGAGCACCCAUGUCCUGUGGAGCAUCUGCAUGGGGUUGGGGAGCACCCGUGUCCCAGGGGCACCUUGGGGAGUACCUGAGUCCUGGGGGCACCUUAGUCCUGGGGGCACCCAUGUCCUGGAGAACAUCUGGUUGGGAUUGGGGAGCACCCACGUCCCAGGGAGCAUCCAUGUCCUGAGGAGCACCCAUGUCCUGGGGAGCAUCUGGAUGGGGUCGGGAAGCACCCAUGUCCCGGGGAGCACCCAUGUCCUGGGGAGUGUCUGGAAGGGGUUGGGGAUCACCCAUGUCCCGGGGAGCAUCUGCAUGGGGUUGGGGAGCACCCAUGUCCUG
This 1025-nucleotide long non-coding RNA is filed under the name Dromaius novaehollandiae (emu). RNAcentral's name for it is "lncRNA (ENSDNVG00000007118.1)". The record is from RNAcentral. Lineage: Eukaryota; Metazoa; Chordata; Aves; Casuariiformes; Dromaiidae.